This 3485-nucleotide long non-coding RNA is filed under the name Homo sapiens (human). Its description in RNAcentral is "non-protein coding lnc-GPBP1-7:1". The record is from RNAcentral. Lineage: Eukaryota; Metazoa; Chordata; Mammalia; Primates; Hominidae.
UAUCUUUUUUUACUAUGCUUUUAAAGGUUCUUUCAUUAUUGUUCAUCCUACACAAACACCCUGCUACCCUCUGCCCCACACCACUUACCCUUCUGUAGUCCACCUAUCCUACACUUUUCCAGACAUUCUUUCUCACUUCUCAAUUUGAGUUAAGGAAGAAAUUAAAACAUUAAAUAAUACUUUUACAAUUCUAAAGCAAACAUUUCCCUCCCACUAAAAUAAUAAUAGUAAGAAUAAUAUUAAUAUUUUUAGUAAAAGCAUUGCAGUUUAAAUUUUUAUAAUAGAAUUUUCAAAGAUAAAAAUAAAUAGAGGUAAUACUAUAAUUACCCUCCAUGGAAUCAUCAUCCAACUUUAAAAAUCUAUAACAUUUUGUCAAUCUUGUUCAUUUACCCAUCCUUACUACUCUUUAGUGGCCGAUAAUGCUUGGAAGAGUGCAGUCGAAUAUGAUUUUUCCUUUAUGUGUCGUAUUUAUCCUCAUUGGUCUGGAUAUCUGCUUUUCUGAAGCACACCAAUGAGGGUGUGACCUCAGGGAUAUUCAUUCAGAUUCCAGGCCUUCUCUAGCAGAACUACACAAAGGCUAAGAAUAUGUUGUAACCAUAAAUUCUCAUUUGUAUUCCUAAUGAACAUGUUUUGAAGGACACUUUUACCAGCUAAUGUUUUUUCAAUCUUAUUCUAAACUCAUCUAUCCAACUUCCUCAUGAAAUGUUUACGCCAUAGUAUUUAAGUUCGUGGGUUGGAUGAGACAUAAUCUAGAUGACACAAAAUCUAACCAGCUAUUUACAUGAUCACAAACAAGCACUGGAAUCAGGGAAGUUACCUUAUGUUAACAUUAAAGUAGCUUGCCAGCAGAGCCCAAUAUACAAUAGCAGUGUAUCUAUUUUCUUUUCAGUAGUUGAUGGAUUUUGAAAUUUGUCCUUGGCUUCAAGGAUUAUUGUCAGAGUCCAAAGGUGAACUUAUCUAUUAUUUCCAUUAGUGUUUGGGUGAUACAUGGCAGCAGGCGUUGGGAGAAAGACAGAAUGCCUAUUGAACUCUCUGAGAUGCUGCUGAGUCUAAUGGCAUAACCUAUUUUUUUUAUUAGAAUGUAAAAAACAUACUCAUAUCCGAAUACAACAGCUAAGAAGCAGAACGCUUCUUACCGGUGCAGAUUCUUACUGAAGGGAGUGAGAGGACAGUGCGCUUUUAAAAAUACAUUGUUCUCUAAAUUAAUAAUGACUUUAUAUUCAGCUUUAAAUAAAUUAUAUUUUCAGAAUAGUCAAAACCUAUGAAGUUAGUUUCAUUUGUCCUUGAGGGUUUCCAGUUUUUAAUAAUUGGAGUUGAAUUCAUUUUGGGAUCUGUUAAUUUAAGUUCUAAUGGUCAAAUAAUUAUUACAUUGGAAAAUCAAGAGUCCUGCAUCUUCAUUAUAUUUUCACCAGUGAUUUACUCACUAACCUUGAGAAUUCACUUCAGCUCAUUUGCCAUACGUAAUCUCUCUUUUCCUGUCAAAUUUUUGUUAAUGAGGAUCAUUUCCAUAGAACUCCUAGAAGGUUUAGAAGAUAAAUGGAGUUUGGGUUGAAAUGAGAAGCAUAUUUUUUGCUGAUAAAGAUUUCUGUAGUGGCUUUGAGUAUGUACCAAAUAUCAUUUGCAUAGAAUUGCAAUGAGCUAGGUAGCCAUAUUUGUUCUCAUGGUUACUUUUCUUCAAAAAAAAAAAAAAGCUGAAGUGUUUCCUGUAUUGACUGCUUAACAUAUUGUCUGCCAGAUUUUAUCACUGUAAAGUUACCUCUUUGUCUUUUGUAAUUGAUAAAUAUCUGUGAGGAGAUACUUGGAGAUUAUAUAAAUAUAUUAUUAGUUCUUAAACUUCCCUCCAGUGGUUUUAGUACUCACUGGAGAUUCUUGCUUGAGUCAAUUGUUAUUAUGAUUACUAAAUGGUAGUUUUGUAUUUUACAAUUUCUUCUACAUUUGUUAGCUGCCUUUCUACUACAGCCCUUCUCCCAUUAUUUUGUUUGUUUAUAACAAUGUAGACUCAUUGGGUUAUUGUUUUAUUCAGUGGAUUUUAAUACUUUUCUAUUAGUUAUUUUGAUUCUAAAUUAUUUCAGUUUUGGUAAGUGGGAGUCUUUCAGAUUGGCUCCUGGGUCCUUUUGGUACAUUCCCAUGUUUCUUGUAGCACUUCUUUACUUUCUGGUACAAGAAGAUGUUGCGACCUCAUUUUGUAAUCUCCCUGCCUCAGCCCUGAAAUCGGUCAUUUAUCUAAAAAGAUGUGCUUGAUUCUAUCAAGAAAUAAUUACUUAUAGACCCUUUCACACAUUUAUAUAUUUUAAUAUCUAUUAUCUCUCUUACUCACUUCUACUAUUUUUAUCUAAAAAACAUGAGUCUACACUGAUAUCUCCAUUUCCAAUUCAUACUAGUGGGAUCAUUCUAGCUUUCUGCCUUCUCAUGUUUGUUUAUUUUUUCAUGCCUUCUCAUACUUGUAAUUCCCUUUUCCAGUGGCGAGAAACCUGGCUACCAUUAUUCAUGACAUAAUGCCUUAUUUGCUAAUCAUAGAAUACAAAGAAAAUGGUUUCAGGUUGCUCAUCCAUGUCUAUGUAAAAGAAGCCCACGAAUAAGAACUCAAUAUUUGUUUAGAAUUAUAUUUGUUUUUAGCCUAAGUGUAUAUCAUUUAAAUCCUGUAGGAAAAAGUUACCUGGGUUAAUUCUCUCUCCAAUUUAUUCAGUGUAGGUAGGUUAUUCUUUUGAAAUAUGGUUUGCUAUAUUUGUUUUUGUUUUGACUCAAUUUUAGAGUUAUUUCCCUAUCCUUUCCGAUUUUUUUUGUGUGUUUUUUCUUUCUUUUUCCUUUUUUUGAGUAUGUAAAACAUUGCCAUGGUCCCAAAAGUCAGACCUGUACAAAAAGUAUACACAGAGGAGGGUCACUGACCACCUUCUGUCAUUCCUUUCAUGCUUCCCACCUAGCCUCAUCCGCCUUCUCUAGGUAACCAAUCACAUUAGUCUUCUACUUAUCGUCCCUUUGUUGUUUUUGCCUAAAUAAUCAGAUACUUUAUUUCCUCUUCUUUCUGAAAAAAGGAGCUCUCUUCCACACUCUGCCUCAGUUCUUCCAGCUUUGCUUCAUUCCUUUGCAUAGUUGCUUAGUAUUCCAUUUCCUAGAUACACCACAGUUUGGCUAAUGAAUAGUGUUUGUUUAGACAUGUUGCUUCCAAUAUUUUAUAAUAAUAAACAAUGCUGCAAGGAAUAUAUUUGUGCACAAGUAUUUUCAAAUUGUUGGAGGUAUAGUUGACCCUUGAAAAAUGUGCAGGUUAGUGGUGCCAACCCCCAUGCACUAAAAAGUCCAUAUAUAACUUUUGAUUUCCCAGCAACUUAACUACUAAUAGCCUAUUGUUGACCAGAAGCCUUACCAAUAACAUAAGAAGUUGAUUAACAUAUAUUUUAUAUGUUAUAUGUAUUAUAUACUAUACUGCAAUAAAGCAAGCUAGAGAAAAGAAAAUUUUAUUAAGAAAAUCAUAAGAAAGAGAAAAUAUA